Molecule: ribosomal RNA, 1504 nt
Filed under: Helicobacter pylori
Lineage: Bacteria; Pseudomonadati; Campylobacterota; Epsilonproteobacteria; Campylobacterales; Helicobacteraceae
Description: bacterial SSU rRNA
Rfam family: Bacterial small subunit ribosomal RNA
Source: RNAcentral
UUUAUGGAGAGUUUGAUCCUGGCUCAGAGUGAACGCUGGCGGCGUGCCUAAUACAUGCAAGUCGAACGAUGAAGCUUCUAGCUUGCUAGAAUGCUGAUUAGUGGCGCACGGGUGAGUAACGCAUAGGUCAUGUGCCUCUUAGUUUGGGAUAGCCAUUGGAAACGAUGAUUAAUACCAGAUACUCCCUACGGGGGAAAGAUUUAUCGCUAAGAGAUCAGCCUAUGUCCUAUCAGCUUGUUGGUAAGGUAAUGGCUUACCAAGGCUAUGACGGGUAUCCGGCCUGAGAGGGUGAACGGACACACUGGAACUGAGACACGGUCCAGACUCCUACGGGAGGCAGCAGUAGGGAAUAUUGCUCAAUGGGGGAAACCCUGAAGCAGCAACGCCGCGUGGAGGAUGAAGGUUUUAGGAUUGUAAACUCCUUUUGUUAGAGAAGAUAAUGACGGUAUCUAACGAAUAAGCACCGGCUAACUCCGUGCCAGCAGCCGCGGUAAUACGGAGGGUGCAAGCGUUACUCGGAAUCACUGGGCGUAAAGAGCGCGUAGGCGGGAUAGUCAGUCAGGUGUGAAAUCCUAUGGCUUAACCAUAGAACUGCAUUUGAAACUACUAUUCUAGAGUGUGGGAGAGGUAGGUGGAAUUCUUGGUGUAGGGGUAAAAUCCGUAGAGAUCAAGAGGAAUACUCAUUGCGAAGGCGACCUGCUGGAACAUUACUGACGCUGAUUGCGCGAAAGCGUGGGGAGCAAACAGGAUUAGAUACCCUGGUAGUCCACGCCCUAAACGAUGGAUGCUAGUUGUUGGAGGGCUUAGUCUCUCCAGUAAUGCAGCUAACGCAUUAAGCAUCCCGCCUGGGGAGUACGGUCGCAAGAUUAAAACUCAAAGGAAUAGACGGGGACCCGCACAAGCGGUGGAGCAUGUGGUUUAAUUCGAAGAUACACGAAGAACCUUACCUAGGCUUGACAUUGAGAGAAUCCGCUAGAAAUAGUGGAGUGUCUAGCUUGCUAGACCUUGAAAACAGGUGCUGCACGGCUGUCGUCAGCUCGUGUCGUGAGAUGUUGGGUUAAGUCCCGCAACGAGCGCAACCCCCUUUCUUAGUUGCUAACAGGUCAUGCUGAGAACUCUAAGGAUACUGCCUCCGUAAGGAGGAGGAAGGUGGGGACGACGUCAAGUCAUCAUGGCCCUUACGCCUAGGGCUACACACGUGCUACAAUGGGGUGCACAAAGAGAAGCAAUACUGCGAAGUGGAGCCAAUCUUCAAAACGCCUCUCAGUUCGGAUUGUAGGCUGCAACUCGCCUGCAUGAAGCUGGAAUCGCUAGUAAUCGCAAAUCAGCCAUGUUGCGGUGAAUACGUUCCCGGGUCUUGUACUCACCGCCCGUCACACCAUGGGAGUUGUGUUUGCCUUAAGUCAGGAUGCUAAAUUAGCUACUGCCCACGGCACACACAGCGACUGGGGUGAAGUCGUAACAAGGUAACCGUAGGUGAACCUGCGGUUGGAUCACCUCCUUU